Molecule: transfer RNA, 81 nt
Filed under: Paragonimus westermani
Lineage: Eukaryota; Metazoa; Platyhelminthes; Trematoda; Plagiorchiida; Troglotrematidae
Description: tRNA-Gly
Rfam family: tRNA
About the family: Transfer RNA (tRNA) molecules are approximately 80 nucleotides in length. Their secondary structure includes four short double-helical elements and three loops (D, anti-codon, and T loops).
Source: RNAcentral
GACCUCGUGGCUCAGAUGGUAAAGCGCUUGCCAUGCCUAGGCAUGUCGCCUCUGUCGCUGGCUCGAAUCCAGCCGAAGUUG